RNAcentral lists this ribosomal RNA (497 nucleotides) under uncultured bacterium. RNAcentral's name for it is "partial 16S ribosomal RNA". It matches the Rfam family "Bacterial small subunit ribosomal RNA", at positions 28 to 507 of the family's 1533-position model. The record is from RNAcentral.
GAUGAACGCUGGCGGCGUGCCUAAUACAUGCAAGUCGAGCGGAAGGACGCGAAUCUUGCGGCUCUCAUGUUAGCGGCGGACGGGUGUAAAACGCGUGGAUACCCUCCCUAUAAGACUGGGAUAAUUUCGGAACACCGGAUCUAAUACCGGAUAAUCUUCUGAAGCGCAUGGUUCAAAGGUGAGAGACGGUCUUGCUGUCAGGUCUAGAUGCAUCCGGGCUGCAUUAGCUAGUUGGUGAGGUAAAGGCCUACGAAGGCAACGAGGCCUAGGCGACCGAAGAGGGGGAUCGGCCACAUGGGAACGGGGACACGGACAAGAGGCCUACGGGAGGCACCAGUAGGGAAUCGUCGGCAGUGGGCGAAAGCCUUACGGAGCAACGCCGAGUGAGUUAUGAAGGUCUUCGGAGCGUAAAACCCUGUUAUGAGGUAAGAACAGAUGUGGAAGGAACCGUGGACAGCGUGACGGUACUGAAUCAGAAAGCAACGGCUAACUACGUG